UCCAGAUGUCACUUGGCAUACACCUGAGUGACUUUAGUGGACAUCUCAAGUUUCCAACUAAGGCACGCGGUGAAUGCCACGUGGCGAUUCUGGA
Molecule: microRNA precursor, 94 nt
Filed under: Caenorhabditis remanei
Lineage: Eukaryota; Metazoa; Nematoda; Chromadorea; Rhabditida; Rhabditidae
Description: mir-124
Source: RNAcentral